Molecule: RNA transcript, 671 nt
Organism: Entelurus aequoreus (snake pipefish)
Lineage: Eukaryota; Metazoa; Chordata; Actinopteri; Syngnathiformes; Syngnathidae
Gene name: acylphosphatase-2-like
Exons: 5
Source: RefSeq, a predicted model, not a curated record
AGACGGGUGUCGUUUAUCGCUACGCGCUGUCUCCGAUGACGUCAUUGUCGUGUCGUCACACUUUGUAGUUUUUGGUUUGGACUACAAAAACCGGCUGUAGUGCAGCGGACGCGCGCGCGCGCGUGCACAGCAGAUGACAAAAGGUCCCGCGCUCCUCUUCCUCCUCUUCAUCUGUGCUGACGUCACGGGGACGGUCAACAUGUCAACAGGAAGUGGAUUGGUGUCGGUGGACUUUGAAGUCUUUGGUCACGUUCAAGGAGUUUGCUUCAGGAUGUACACUGAGAAGGAGGCGGGGCUCCUGGGUGUGGUGGGCUGGGUGAAGAACACCCACAGUGGGACGGUGGUGGGUCAACUCCAAGGUCCUUCUGACGCCGUGGAGGAGAUGAAAGUGUGGCUGAGCAAAGUAGGAAGUCCCGGCAGUCGCAUCAGCAGAACUUCCUUCAGCAACUCCAACAACAUCAACAAGCUGGAGAUGAGCGGCGUUCACACUCGCUACUGAACACCCGAGGAACACCUGAGGUGCACCUGAAGUACACCUGAGGUACACCUGAAGUACACCUGAGGUACACCUGAAGUACACCUGAGGUGCACCUGAAGUACACCUGAGGCUCUCCUUGUGCUACUUCCUGCUUGUGCUGUGUGCACACCUGCAUGCACGACCACUUUUUGAA